CGGGGUUUUAGCUCAAUUGGUAGAGCGUUCGCUUUGCAAGCGUUUGGCUGUUGGUUCGAGUCCAAUAAACUCCA
Molecule: transfer RNA, 74 nt
Filed under: Heterosigma akashiwo
Lineage: Eukaryota; Raphidophyceae; Chattonellales; Chattonellaceae
Description: tRNA-Ala
Rfam family: tRNA
About the family: Transfer RNA (tRNA) molecules are approximately 80 nucleotides in length. Their secondary structure includes four short double-helical elements and three loops (D, anti-codon, and T loops).
Source: RNAcentral